This 507-nucleotide ribosomal RNA is filed under the name uncultured bacterium. RNAcentral's name for it is "bacterial SSU rRNA". It matches the Rfam family "Bacterial small subunit ribosomal RNA", at positions 1 to 507 of the family's 1533-position model. The record is from RNAcentral.
UAUCGACGAGUUUGAAUCCGUGGCUCAGAAUGAACGUUGGCGGCGUGCCUAACACAUGCAAGUCGAACGCGAAAGUCCUUCGGGAUGAGUAAAGUGGCGGACUGGUGAGUAACACGUGAGAAUCUGCCCUCUAGUGAAGGAUACCUCCGAGAAAUCGGAGUUAAUACUGCAUAAGUCCCUUCGGGGAGAAAAGUGGCUUAAUUGCUAUUGCUAGAGGAUGAGCUUGCGGUCUAUUAGUUAGUUGGUAGGGUAAAGGCCUACCAAGACUGUGAUGGAUAGUCGGCCUGAGAGGAUGUACGACCACAUUGGGACUGAGAUACGGCCCAGACUCCUACGGGAGGCAGCAGUGAGGAAUAUUGCACAAUGGACGAAAGUCUGGUGCAGCGACGCCGCGUGGAGGAUGAAGGUUUUCGGAUUGUAAACUCCUGUUAAGCGGGAAGAAAGACCCAUUUCUAAUAAAGAUGGGAGAUGACGGUACCGCUAAAGAAAGCACCGGCUAACUUCGUG